RNAcentral lists this small nuclear RNA (169 nucleotides) under Nelumbo nucifera (sacred lotus). RNAcentral's name for it is "U1 spliceosomal RNA". It matches the Rfam family "U1 spliceosomal RNA". Rfam says of the family: U1 is a small nuclear RNA (snRNA) component of the spliceosome (involved in pre-mRNA splicing). Its 5' end forms complementary base pairs with the 5' splice junction, thus defining the 5' donor site of an intron. Lineage: Eukaryota; Viridiplantae; Streptophyta; Magnoliopsida; Proteales; Nelumbonaceae. The record is from Rfam by way of RNAcentral.
AUACUUACUUGGACGGAUCAAUUGGUGAUCAAGAUGGCCCAUGGCCUAGGUUGGUGACUUCCAUUGCACAUUGCACAUAGGAGGGUGUCUGCCUAAUAUCUCCCCCAAAAGUGAGAGAGUGUACGUCAUAAUUUGUGGUAGUUGGGGUACGCGUUUGUGCAGCCCUUGC